AUUGAACGCUGGCGGCAGGCUUAACACAUGCAAGUCGAGCGAGCGGCGGACUGGUGGGUAAUGUCUGGGAAACUGCCUGAUGGAGGGGGAUAACUACUGGAAACGGUGGCUAAUACCGCAUACCAUCAGAUGUGCCAAGGUGGGAUUAGAUAGUAGGGGGGGUAAUGGCUCACCUAGGCGACGAUCCCUAGCUGGUCUGAGAGGAUGACCAGCCACACUGGAACUGAGACACGGUCCAGACUCCUACGGGAGGCAGCAGUGGGGAAUAUUAGGCAAUGGGCGCAAGCCUGAUCGAGCCAUGCCGCGUGUGUGAAGAAGGCUUUCGGGUUGUAAAGCUCUGUUGGCGGGGAGGCGUUACCCGACGAGAAAGCAACGGCUAACUACGUGCCAGCAGCCGCGGUAAUAC
RNAcentral lists this ribosomal RNA (406 nucleotides) under uncultured bacterium. Its description in RNAcentral is "partial 16S ribosomal RNA". It matches the Rfam family "Bacterial small subunit ribosomal RNA", at positions 30 to 526 of the family's 1533-position model. The record is from RNAcentral.